RNAcentral lists this ribosomal RNA (497 nucleotides) under uncultured bacterium. RNAcentral describes it as "partial 16S ribosomal RNA". It matches the Rfam family "Bacterial small subunit ribosomal RNA", at positions 27 to 507 of the family's 1533-position model. The record is from RNAcentral.
GGGGGGGGGGGGGGGGGGGGCGGGGGGGGGCGGGGCGGGGGGGGGGGGGGGGGGCGUGCGCGGCUGACGUUAGCGGCGGACGGGUGAGUGACACGUGGAUACCCUACCUAUAAGACUGGGAUAGCUUCGGGAAACCGGAGCUAAUACCGGAUAAUAUCUUGAACCGCAUGGUUCAAUAGUGACAUACGGUUUUGCUGUCCCUUAUAGAUGGAUCCGCGCCGCAUUAGCUAGUUGGUAAGGUAACGGCUUACCACGGCAACGAUGCGUAGCCGACCUGAGAGGGUGAUCGGCCACACUGGAACUGAGACACGGUCCAGACUCCUACGGGAGGCAGCAGUAGGGAAUCUUCCGCAAUGGGCGAAAGCUUGACGGAGCAACGCCGCGUGAGUGAUGAAGGUCUUCGGAUCGUAAAACUCUGUUAUUAGGGAAGAACAAAUGUGUAAGUAACUAUGCACGUCUUGACGGUACCUAAUCAGAAAGCCACGGCUAACUACGUG